UGCUCUCGAGCCAUGGCUCAUGACGCCAGUGUUGAAUCCUGCCCAGGGAAGCCCAGAAGCAAGGUACACUGCCUGGCACUGUCGUGUGCGCAACAUAAUUGAGCGGACCAAUGGGUACCUCAAAAAUGUGUUCCGGUGCCUGGGUCACGACCGCGUCUUACACUACAGCCCAGCGAAGGCAUCGUCGAUGAUAAAUGUAUGUUGCGUAUUAUACAACAUAAUGCAAUAUUACAAAGAUCUUCCCGUGGAAAUCGUAGAAGAAAUUGAAGAAGGGGCUCCUCAAGAACUUCCUCAUCGUCAUGCCCAAAACGGACUCUUAUUAAGAGUGGCGCAGGAAAAGCGUGCGCGGCUAAUAAAUACAUAUUUUGCUUAUUACUAUGUUUUAUUAUGAUACAAAUACCUACCUCAUAU
Long non-coding RNA from Cydia fagiglandana, 411 nucleotides. RefSeq lists it as uncharacterized. Lineage: Eukaryota; Metazoa; Arthropoda; Insecta; Lepidoptera; Tortricidae. The record is from RefSeq and is a predicted model, not a curated record. The transcript is spliced from 2 exons.